UAGCACAUACCUAUGGCUAUAAAAUGUGAAGAAGAUGGCUCAAAGUCACUUUCAGCAAAAAUCACAGAGACGUCUUGUUGCUGAAAAGCAGUAAACUGAAAAGAUGAACACUGUCGUGCCCGCUCUCCUUGUUGCUUUUAUAGCAUCUUGCCAAGGUAUAACGAUAACGUUUCCAGUGAAGAUAUCUCCUAUUGCUGGCUUAUGGCCACCAUCAGCAUCUUGGGGAAACUGUCACAGUGAAGUUAGACCAGGGCAUGGUCUCAUUCAGUCCAACAAGGAGUGUGUAUUGGAUAAGUUGAAGUCUACAUGCGGCUUCACUGCAAGCCAAGCAGACACUUUGCUGCAAGCUGCUAGCACUAUGGUCGGAAGACAUCCUCACGCUAGUGGACAGCAAGUUGGUGUCGACAGUUGUUCAAAACAGUGUAUGUGCAAUGUUGCCUCAGAUUGUUCCUGCCAAAUAACACAAGAUUGGUGCUCAAGAGAUCUACGAAGCGCUUGCAGCAACGAAAGAAGUCGUUAGAGAGACUAUUUUAUCGUAGAGAAAAAAAUGAUAAUUACAAACACAUUCGACAUGUUGGCUGUGAUUAAAAUUUGUCAAAGAGUAUGAUGAUUCUUUGAAAAUUGUUAAAGAGCCUAGUUUUCUGCAUUUGUUCAAAGAGACUGGUCUAUGCUUUCCAACCUCUCGUUGUACAUUUUUAGGUAAAAUAUUGCAAUGUUGCAAUUCAAGUAAAAAGUUUCAUUAUGCAAUUACUGAGCCCAAACUCAUUGUGGUUAAACAGAUGAUAUGCAGAAGUGGCCUACAAAUUAUCACUUACAUCGACACAAGCAAGGUUAUUUAAUUUCACUAAAUGGCUAGCGAUAUAAAUAUUCUUGCUUAUGAUAUUGAUCUUAUAAAUAGAUAAUAAAUGAAUAAAUAAAUAAAUAAAUAAAUAAUAGGAAUGUCACUUUUCUAUGAACGGCAAUAAGAGUAGCCAAAUGUCACUUUUGCAUCUCAGUUAAAAAAUAUCAGUAGAAUCAAUAUGAAAAAUCACUUGAUGACCAGAAAGAUUUUUGGCCAAGACAAGACCUUGACUAAAAUUGAUUUUUCCCCAAAAAAAUAUCAUCGGCCUUAACACAAUUUUAGCAUGGUAAGAGGAACUGGAUCGAGCCUAUCAACCUUGAAUGGAGAUGCAGAAUGAAAUAUUAAAAAAAAGUAUGAUGCAUAAUUCUAUAGCAAUAUGUUCCCAGAGGUAGCGAGUAAUCAAAAUAAAAAGGGGAAAUAAUUGUAUCGUUAUUAGCUUACUAUUAUGUUUUAACCCAAACAAACAAUAAAUAGAGAAGUAAGAGAAAAUAGUAUCUUGAUAUUUUCUUUAAAAGUAGAUAAAAGGAUAAGUAAGCCGAGAGGCCAAGCCUGACAUUGUUAUCAGACAUCCACCACUUCGAACAUAAGAUUCAAAGUUAGUUCCUUGAACCUGUUCACCUUUGAAUGUUGACCUUUCAUGAAAUCGGGGGUCAAUAUCCAUAUGACCUUCUCACCUCUCAUGAAAUUGAGGAUUGGAUCCCUUUUCCGUCAGAUCUGAACGUCUUUCGUGCUGUAAGGUUAAACAUUAAUCUGCUGGAUACUAAAGAGAGCCUCAGCCAAUGUAAAGAAAGGCGUGUAGCAUUUCUUCUGUUCUUUUUUACCUAUUUGGUUCCCUCCUAUUUCCUUUUUUGGAUGCUUCUUUAACUUUGAUUUUGGUAAAGAUUGUCUCUGUCAUUUUCCAUUUCUGCAUUAUUCAAAUUAAAUAAGGUGCCAGGUUUAUUACAGAUUCACACUGCUUCAAGGGUGUGACAUUGAAAAAGCCUUUGGUAUCUUCGUGUCUCCCCAAAAACAAGAGCAUUCGCUCCAGGUAUUCUAAGUUUAGCAUGUCUUAUUCCCUUUAAAAAUCAUAACCUGGUGUUUUUAGCAGAAACAAUUCUUAAAUUUUACCCUUUGAGAAUGCAGGCCAAUAGAUAGAUACAAUAUGGGCCAACUAUAAAAACAAUCAUUACCUUCUAUUGUAAGCAAAUGUUAUAAAGAAAAGUCGAAGCUAACAUCAAACCAAACUAUAUUUGUUCGAAGCACCUAUGUCAUCACAUUUCAUUCCUUUGCCUACUAUUUUGUCCUUUGACUUAAUUUUUGAAUCAACACAAGGUGAUCAACCUCCAGGAGAAAAUGUCAGUACUUCAGCAGUUUUGUUUAGCCAGCUGUUUCCAUAGAAGGAGCACUUGCUUUCGUAAAAUCAAGGCCUGGCUUUUAAAAAUGCAUUCUUGCAGCAUGUUGACCGGUUGGCUUUUAGAAUGCAGUAUAUUAUCAUUUGUAAAAUGUUGGCACUCCACUUUCAACCUUUGACUCUUUGUCAUUAAACAAAAGAUGAAUUCAAGAAAGCGUUUUGCUUUUUGAUAUCGAAGGAAUUGAAUGUUUUCAAAUAAUGAAUCAUUCUUAAAAGCAAAUUAUAUCUAACUGUAGCAAAAAUUCUUUGACUGGCAUUGAAAAAACAUAAGACACUCUGACAGAAGGUCUUUGCGAAAGUUUAGGGUGUAUUGAUCAGUAUGAUAAUUUGCAGAUGCGAAGUCACGUGUAAGUAGAGGCAGGUGAAGACCCUGAGAAACAAGAGAAAGUAGCAAAUGUAAAAAGAAGUUGAAGUCGACAAAACAUUAUAUUCGAGACAUAUCGUGUUUGUAGAGACGUUGUGUUUUGAUACAAAAUCGAAAUUGUAGCAUUUCAUUUAUCUUUUUGUUGUAUUUUUUAUGCUGGACUCUGACCCCUGUAUCACAACAACAGCUAGUGAGAAUAACUGUACAUAUAGAGCUGUACAGGCAUUGGCUUAUAACAGGAAGGCUCUAUGCUGUUUCACGUAUUGAUCAGUUAACAUAUGAUUACACAAUCAGGCUUUGUUUGUGUUAUAGCUCUAUUGCUCUGUACAAAUUAUACGUUGUCAAACAUAAACAAGUAGAGGCAGCAAGUAGAUUGCUUAUUAACUUCAGAUUUUCUCAUACUAAAAUCUCACAGAAGAUUCUGUUAAGUGUAGGUUAUCAUUUCUUAUACUGAUGAGAUACACAAUGGAAUACCACAGUGAUCUCAUCUUUGUCCCUUGAUGUUUUUUAUAUGGAUAAAAGUAAUUAACGCACAACAUACAAUUUCCUUUCUAAGGGCAAUAGAAAAUCAGUCACGAGGUUGAAUUUUGCCUUGAUAAAGGAAUCUCAAAAUGAAAUAAAUAUAAUUUUGCUUGGAAGUGUUGAUUAUCCAGACAUAAUAACAUAAGAAUUUAAUGCAUAUGGAAGUUAGAAACGUAAUGUAUUUUCCAGGUAAAUCAACAAACACUUGUUGGUGUUAUCUCCAUGUGCUCCGUUCAGGGCUAUAAAAGUGCCUGAGAGAUAGCCGGACAGUACUUAGAAGAAAAGGUCUACUUACAACAAAGUCACUCAGCCGUUAUCAAGAAAAUGAAGACAUUCAUUGUUUUUCUUAUUUUUGCUGUCAUGGCAACUUGUCAAGGAAUGACAAUUAAGUUGCCUGUGUUGGUAUCACCUAUCGCAGGCAUAUUUGCGCCAUCAAGCUCUUGGGGAAAUUGCGAUAGUGAGCAGAAGGCAUACCAUGGACUUGUUGAAUCAAACAAGGGAUGCUCAAUGAAAAAACUCAAAUCCAUAUGUAAGUUUGGGGAUGAUCAAGCAGAGUUGCUCUUCCGCCUGGCUAACUCAAUUGUCAGUAGACAUCCGAUGGCCAGAGGAGAGAUAAUCGGAGCAGACCAGGAUGCAAAGAAAUGCAUGUGCAAAGUUGCAUCUGAAUGCAAAUGCCAGAUCACACAAGAUUGGUGCUAAAAUGAGCAAAAAGGGCAACGAACAUUGAAGAAAUUUAAAAGUAAAAUCCAGCCAAUCGUUGUUAAAUGUAUUUUAGCAUCAAUUCAGUUAUAUGAGGAAUUCAUUAAAUCUUUUUCGCGUGCCUAUCUGCCUCAACAUAUGUCAAUAAUAUAUCGAGCACAAUCAGCAAAUCGUGAUUGCAAAUAUUGCUGUAAAUGUGUUUGUCAAGGAACAAUCACCAUCACCAGCGCAGGGGCUUAGCUGAUAAAAGAUCUCAAUGAAACCGGGGAUAGGGUAUUGUAGACCGAUGCAGUUAGGAAGGAGAAAAAUAUUUCUUUGACUAAAUUUCUGAAGCGUAGUCCUGUGACUAGAUCAAAAUAUUUCUGAAGCGUAAGCAUGGAGACUUUAGCUACGUAACUGACAGAGGGAGUGUAUAGGUUGUGGCGGUUUUUUCAUGAGUUGUUCGGUAAAACCGUUUGUUGGUUAGUAAAACUGCCAAAUGGUAAGUAUAAUAGGGACAAAGCAAGUUUUAUCCAUGUUCAGUAAGUUGGUAAACUUUGUUGCCAUACCACAAACAAUUGUGACUGUGAUUUUCUCAAUGAAAGACGGUGGAGCUAGCUUUGUGCUGAGCAGGUUGCAUGAAUCUUACUGUUUCAAUUUGAAUCAAAAUUUGACAGAACCAAUGGUCACGGACAAGUUCACAAGGCACAGAAAGUUAGCUCAUCUAUGUUUGUGCUUUGAGCAAUACUGUAAAACCUUUUUAUUGAGGUGUUAAGCCAGAUUAUUAACUGAAUAUUAACUGAAAACCACAUCUAUACAGUGAGAAAUCCUCAAGAUGACGUCAUUCAUUGUUCCCAUCUUUCUUGCUUUUAUAGCAACUUGUCAAGGUAUAACAAUUCGUUUGCCUGUGAUGACCAACCCAAUUUCAGGAAUGUUUGCUCCAUCAAGCUCUUGGGGAUCUUGCAAUAGCGAGCAAAAGGCAUUCCAUGGGAUGGUCCAAUCAAACAAGGAUUGUGCUAUGGAAAAGCUGAUGUCAGUUUGUGAGUUUAGUGAACAGGAUGCUCAGAUGUUGCUCAACCUUGCAAAUUCGAUAAUUUCCAGGCACCCCAUGGCUCGUGGUGAGGUAGUGGGAGCAGAUAGUGGUGCCAAAAAAUGCAUGUGCAAGGUUGCAUCUGAAUGCAAAUGCACAAUAACACAAGACUGGUGCAGUGAUCGUGAUUUGAAAAAGAAAGCUAGGAAAAUGACAAAUAAGAAGAAAUCUGAAGAAAAGGCAGAAGAUAAAAAAAUC
Rhopilema esculentum is the source of this 5083-nucleotide non-coding RNA. The record is from RefSeq and is a predicted model, not a curated record. Lineage: Eukaryota; Metazoa; Cnidaria; Scyphozoa; Rhizostomeae; Rhizostomatidae.